Molecule: ribosomal RNA, 829 nt
Filed under: Ralstonia mannitolilytica
Lineage: Bacteria; Pseudomonadati; Pseudomonadota; Betaproteobacteria; Burkholderiales; Burkholderiaceae
Description: bacterial SSU rRNA
Rfam family: Bacterial small subunit ribosomal RNA
Source: RNAcentral
GCCUUACACAUGCAAGUCGAACGGCAGCGGGGGAAAGCUUGCUUUCCUGCCGGCGAGUGGCGAACGGGUGAGUAAUACAUCGGAACGUGCCCUGUAGUGGGGGAUAACUAGUCGAAAGAUUAGCUAAUACCGCAUACGACCUGAGGGUGAAAGUGGGGGACCGCAAGGCCUCAUGCUAUAGGAGCGGCCGAUGUCUGAUUAGCUAGUUGGUGGGGUAAAGGCCUACCAAGGCGACGAUCAGUAGCUGGUCUGAGAGGACGAUCAGCCACACUGGGACUGAGACACGGCCCAGACUCCUACGGGAGGCAGCAGUGGGGAAUUUUGGACAAUGGGCGAAAGCCUGAUCCAGCAAUGCCGCGUGUGUGAAGAAGGCCUUCGGGUUGUAAAGCACUUUUGUCCGGAAAGAAAUGGCUCUGGUUAAUACCCGGAGUUGAUGACGGUACCGGAAGAAUAAGGACCGGCUAACUACGUGCCAGCAGCCGCGGUAAUACGUAGGGUCCAAGCGUUAAUCGGAAUUACUGGGCGUAAAGCGUGCGCAGGCGGUUGUGCAAGACCGAUGUGAAAUCCCCGGGCUUAACCUGGGAAUUGCAUUGGUGACUGCACGGCUAGAGUGUGUCAGAGGGAGGUAGAAUUCCACGUGUAGCAGUGAAAUGCGUAGAGAUGUGGAGGAAUACCGAUGGCGAAGGCAGCCUCCUGGGAUAACACUGACGCUCAUGCACGAAAGCGUGGGGAGCAAACAGGAUUAGAUACCCUGGUAGUCCACGCCCUAAACGAUGUCAACUAGUUGUUGGGGAUUCAUUUCCUUAGUAACGUAGCUAACGCGUGAAGU